AACGAACGCUGGCGGCAGGCUUAACACAUGCAAGUCGAACGCUCCUAGCAAUAGGGGAGUGGCAGACGGGUGAGUAACGCGUGGGAAUCUACCCAGCCCUUCGGAAUAGCUCCGGGAAACUGGAAUUAAUACCGAGUACGCCCUACGGGGAAAGGAUUUAUCGGGUUGGAGUGAGCCCGCGUUGGAUUAGCUAGUUGGUGAGGUAAUGGCCCACCAAGGCGACGAUCCAUAGCUGGUCUGAGAGGAUGAUCAGCCACACUGGGACUGAGACACGGCCCA
This 279-nucleotide ribosomal RNA is filed under the name uncultured bacterium. Its description in RNAcentral is "partial 16S ribosomal RNA". It matches the Rfam family "Bacterial small subunit ribosomal RNA", at positions 29 to 333 of the family's 1533-position model. The record is from RNAcentral.